CAGUCGCCGCGGGAAUACGAAGGGUGCAAGCGUUACUCGGAAUUACUGGGCGUAAAGCGUGCGUAGGUGGUGGUUUAAGUCCGUUGUGAAAGCCCUGGGCUCAACCUGGGAAUUGCAGUGGAUACUGGGUCACUAGAGUGUGGUAGAGGAUAGUGGAAUUUCCGGUGUAGCAGUGAAAUGCGUAGAGAUCGGAAGGAACAUCUGUGGCGAAGGCGACUAUCUGGGCCAACACUGACACUGAGGCACGAAAGCGUGGGGAGCAAACAGGAUUAGAUACCCGUGUAGUCCCUGUCUCUUAUAA
RNAcentral lists this ribosomal RNA (301 nucleotides) under uncultured bacterium. RNAcentral's name for it is "partial 16S ribosomal RNA". It matches the Rfam family "Bacterial small subunit ribosomal RNA", at positions 509 to 809 of the family's 1533-position model. The record is from RNAcentral.